This 66-nucleotide transfer RNA is filed under the name Paraglypturus tonganus (nomen nudum). Its description in RNAcentral is "tRNA-Asn". Lineage: Eukaryota; Metazoa; Arthropoda; Malacostraca; Decapoda; Callianassidae. The record is from RNAcentral.
UUGAAAGAAGCCAAAAAGCGGCAGAUCAUUGUUACUGAUUAAAUUGGGAAGUUAUCCUCUUUCAAU